UCUGUCUCUACACCCCCCCCCCUCCUCCUCCCCUCCCUUUUCUCCCCUUCCCUCUUGGCAGCAGUGCCAAAGUGGGCAGGCAGACCGAGGCAAACACAGCACAGGGCAGAGCAGAGGGCGAUCCAAAGGCUGGCGAAUUGAUUAUGUUGCUGUGUGAGAGCAGACGUCCCUCUGUCACCCUGUGUACGGAUAGACGCACUCACGCCAGUAGGAGGGGAUUGUGGGAAGGGGGUGUAGCUCUCAGAGGGUGUGCUCUACUCUUCUCUUUUCCCUUCUUCCCGCCAUCACGGCCCUCUUCUCUUCUAGUCCUCCGGCCCAGCCCGCCGCUCACGUACAGGCUCCAGGUAUUUUUAUUUUUUAUCCUGCGACACCUCUUCCCAUCUUUUUCACCGCCCUAUAAUCUUUCUCCUCCAGUUCCUCUCCCUUAUUCUCUGUCCUUCAUCGUGGUGUUCCUCCUGUAAAUGUGUCUAUCGUCGUCGGUUGCCACGCUGCACUCCGCUCGCCACCAUUUUGGCUCAAUGGACAUAACAAGAGGAACUUUUCUAGAGCUCAAGGGGACUCCUCGACUCCCUGCUGACCAUCUUCUUUCUCCUGCUUCCAUCAUCUCUUUUUUCUCUGUCCCUGUCCCCCACUUCCUCUCCCCUCUCCGCUCUAGGACAGCAGGCUCUGACAGGGUGGUAAACAGUCUUUCUGUGGCUUUCCGUACUGAACAGGUGACUCUUUGUAGACUGGCAGGAGGAAGGACAGGCCUCGUCGGUUAGUUUCUGACCUCAGAGGGUCGACCGAGCCAGAGAGCUGUUGUUGGGUUCAGGUCAGUACAAGUUUAGCUACACCCACAGGACGUGAGACACUUGGCAGGUCUCUUAUCAUCCAGAGCCGUUAUGAUAGCUGGUACGGGGGCAAUAUUGACUUUGUUUCCCUUCUCACACUGUUUGCACUUUCUGCCACUGUUGAAACUCAAGGUAUGUGGCGGUUGUUUCACAGGAACAUGCCUGUUUGUGUGUGAGUUUGAUCUUUCUGCGAUCUAGAGGUGUGACAGUUUGUUAAAAGGUGGCAACUGGCUCGACACGCUGCGUCAUGGGUUAUUGUAUAUGAAACUUUGCACUUCAGAGGAAACCGAGGCAGAAAUGAAACCCAGUUAGGUCAAACAAACACUCAACGCUGUAAAGAAAUGUUUAACGUUGGUGUUUUUUCAGUAGUUCUUUCUCGUGGUAUCAGUAAUGCUGCUGAUUGUGUUGAACAGUAGCAGUUUGUCUGAUUGAUGUGUGUCUUACUCAGAAUAUUAUUCAUUUUACACUGUGUAUUUUGAUUACAUUCUCAUGUCAGAGGCCAGAAAGCCCUGAAACCAAAACAUAAUAUCAAUGUUGCAUUCUUUGAAUGAGAUAAAACAGGAUACGCAAAUGAAUCAACAACCGAUUUAAUAUCAACCUUUAGGUCAAAUGAAAUGAAAUGAUCUGGAAUAUCUGCAUAUUGUAUUUACAAUCAGGACUCUAACUGGACUGCUUAUUGUUAGUACUGUAUCUUGAUUUAAAUACGGGUUGGUGUUAAGAUGGCGCCUUCGUGCCACGUGUUUAUGAAACAGUGAAUAUGGGCAGACCCUUUCAACAUGCCCCUCACAAUUCAUGGGUAUACUACUCCUAAUUCCCCUGCAUCAGCCUCUUGGCAUUUAAAAUAGAUCAGCUUUGGCAUUACGCAGCAAAUAAAUUUACAAAAAAAGAACUAAAAGAACCUCUCUUCAUGUAUAUCGACAUGUGACAGUGACGAGAGGAAAAUGUUAAGAAAGAAGAAGCUGCAGAGAAAGAGAGAGAACAAGGGUUACAGAGACAGAAAGAGAGGUAGGAGUGGGAGAGCGCUUUCCCCGCCCCUCUCUUAUCCUCAGAUGAACUUAUCGUGUUGCCUCAUAAUGUUACUGAGUUUUUCUCCUAGAGGCAGUCAGGCUUACUUCCUGCAUUCAGCCUCAACAUAGCUGAUUGGUUGAUAUCUCAGCUGACCAGCCACAGUUCGCAGUGAGGCAACAGGAAGUUUCUCUUGUCAUGCAGGAAGCUGCAGCUGUUUCAUCCUGACAUACACCGCUUUGCACUCUUGCACGCAUACUCUUUGUAUACAUGCACACCAACAUGCAUGUACACCCUUGCAUGUGCGUAAGCUCGUGCUCUGUGUGGCAUUAGUGAAUGCUGUAACAUGUGGGCGUGCAGCAACAUGCCAGGCCAGGCAUCAGAGCUAUCAGAAACAUUUGAAACCAUGGUAACUCAUCAGCACAUUGGCAAAAGCAUAGACAAGUGGAAAAGAGGAGAGGGCAUAGAGAGAGUACACGAAGAGGAGGAAAGAAACCUUUGAUCGACAUUCUCUUCUUUCAGAGGUUUUAGAAACACAUCUGGCCAUGUGGGUAAUUGGAGGAUAUACUUUAGCUAAUACACCAGUGACUCAGAAAUUCCUCUUUUUUUUCUUUUAUCAGCUAAUAACUAAUUCUCUCCACAAAAGCAAUUUAUAUACUGUACAUGUUAAAAUGCAUUUCUAAUGUUGCGACAUACUAACCUGAGAAGUAUAAGAGAGUGUAACCCUGCCACCUUUUGUUCACACUAAAUAUUCAACUUGUGUGUGUGUGUGUGUGUGUGUGUCUAUGGUAGAAAGGAUUGUUGGACACAGUGAUAGUCAACACAAUGGCUGCCUUAUAGUCCUGCUUUAUCUGGGUCAUACUAUCUUUUCAUCAAACACGUUGCCUGACAUGUUUACCUAGCUCUGAUGCCUGUGAGCCGAACAUUUGUGUGUGCAGCCCUCGAUCCUGCAAAACAGACGAGUUGAUGCCAAAGAACUGGAAGCAUUUUCAUUUAAUGAACAUUAAGCAACAUGAGAAUCAGAUAGGAUGAACCUCUUUCAUGCAAACAGGUCACUUGUGUCUACCACAAGUGUAAGUACAUGCAUAUGGCAGCGUGUAUCAGUAUACAUGCAUACGCGUGAGCUUGAGCCUUGUGUGUUUGCGCUUGGUUAAUGAGGAUAUACAGAACAUCAGAGCGGGCACCUUGCCAAGUGGGAAGAGGCUCAGUGCUCCUGUCCUUCGUCCUUUAAUGUAGGAGUCUGGCAUUCCUCGGGGAGUGAGGAAGAUGAAAAAGCAUGUACAAUAAAAUCACCAUAGCGCUCCGCCGAGGAUCAGCCCUCUUUCUCGUAUCUGCCAGAUGCCAGGACGCAAUUUUUCUCCAGAGUAAGACUGCACACGAGUAAGACAAGACAUCCGUUUGCAUCUUUUUAACUGUGGGAAUUCUUCAUCCUGCCAUUUAUUGUGUGGCAUACUUCCUCUGCCAACUCCAGCUCCCCCACCGCUCCUCCUCCUCUUUGCCCACCAUCACCACCUCCUUCCUCCCUCAUUGAAAUUCUGCCUGGCACACAGACACUGCCCAUUCUUGGCACAAAGCUCAGAGAGAGAGAGAGAGAGAGAGAGAGAAACACACAAGAACCUGUACCAAUCGUCUGGUGCCCCCUCCGUUGUGUCUGCCAAGCAUUCAUCCCAUCUCGCGGACCAACGGACCAGGCAACCCAAUAGGUAUUUCCCUGCCUCUUGCUUCCUGUUAAAAUCUACUCCAAUUCUGAGUAGUUUUAUUGGCAACUGAGUCUGCUGUGUGUGUGUUUUGGCAUUCGCCAAUUAAUUUGUGUGUUUACGUCGUUUGUAUUGGGUGAGGAACGAAUCCGACGAAAACCUGCAUCCUUUGAACAGUUCCAGGGGAAGAAGCUACGGCCCAUUGCUUCCUCAAUACGUCUUCAUUUUGGCAUUGGGUUUUCAUUUGACUCGACAGUUGUGUUGGUUUUUCGUGUGUUGAUAGAACAGCAGGUUAGAAGUUUGUACAAUAGUGUAUAAUAAUAAUAAUAAUAAUAAUAAUAAUAUAAUAAUAAUAAUAAUAAUAAUAAUAAUAAUAAUAAUAAUGAUAAACACUGGUAUUCAGUUUAGCAACCAUUUUGUUCUUUAACUUCUCAUCACAAAAGAGCAGAAUAAAUAGAUAAUUUGAUCGUAACGUCUUUCUUUCACUUUAAUGCUUUCUUAAAAAGGCUUUCCUAUUUUAUAGUUGUGUCUGUAUUGUAACAUUUCUAAUGUCUGAAAUAGAGUCAGGUAUGGGCUUUAUAGAUGCUGUUGCUGUACAUCUGUUUGUUAUAGAAACAGAUUACAUUCCCAGGGCUAUAAUUGACAAAAGAAACAUGUGUAACAGUCGCCCAAAGAUAGAUCCUAAAGCCGGAAAUUGUCUCCAGAAAAACAUAUCCUGGUUGGUCACAGCAGAGCAGCUUUAUCAGAGAGCAGGAGAGGACACUGUCCGUGUUUCCUGGCUUACACAGAAUAUUGCUAAUAUGAAUUCACUACCAUUUAGCUGUAAUUCUGCUGUGACAGCUGCACAGAGAGACUGUCUAAUAGGCAGAUGAGAUUAACUCAACGGGCCACAUUUCUCCCUUUCCUUGUCUUUUUUUUCAAGAUCCUCUGAGCUGCCCCACUGGAUGAAGGCUCAUUUAUUAGCUGUCGACAGAGAAAAUGCUUUCGCCCCAGCCGAGCCAUAUGUGCCCCUUUUAUGUGCCACAGACAAAGUCCACGAUCACAGACAACAGCGCCCAAUAGAGCUCACAUGACUGACCGAGUUUGGCCUCUGUAUUUCCAAAACAGUCGGGAGUUGAGCAGGGAAUGGGAUGCCAAUUUUCGCAAUUAAUCCAGAAGCACAGAAUACCCCACAAGCAUUUAAUGUGGAAACCUUAUUGUUUUGUCAUUUGAGGCCAUGUUCAGAUGUCUUGUUAAACCUUCAUUAAUCUGACCAGUCUCCCCCCGCACUGUGUCAUAUCACUGUUCGCUUCGUCUUCCAAACACAGCUCCGGUCAGGGGACGUUUCUCGGCGACCGAACGGCGCUCGUAGAUCUGUCACUGACACGGUGGCAGAGUUGGGCAUCGUGCCAACCCCCCCCCCCUUCUGUCUGUCUGGUCUUCUGUAAUCAGACUAGCAGGGUCUACUGAAUGCUAACUAUGGGCUGGCCUGGACCAAGUCUCAGGGGUUGUGGCUGUAUGCUAAUUUAUGCAAGUAGUGUACCUCCUAACUCCUUCUCUGUCUAUCUGAGGCCCUGGUCUGGCAUUUUUAGUCUGGCACUCAUUAACCCUUCAGUAGCUGCCAUGUUUACCGGCUGGCCCAUCCCAACCUUUAUCCCAUAAGAGUUGAGCAGUUAGCUGGCUGAGGGCUGAGCCAAGUCUUUCAGCGUGAGAUUAAUGAAAGUUAAUAAAAUACUUGUCGAGUGCCAACGUUCGAAGGGAAGCUCGAAACUGUUAAUGGUGCCCGUAAACAUGCGGCAUGCGAAGAAGCUUUUUCUCGGUGAACUUCCCAGCUGUCUGAUAAGUAUUACAUUGAGUUGCUCUCUUACUUUGUGCCCGCCGACUGUGAGCACGUCGUUUGGUCUCUUUGGCUUCGACUCUGCGCUCGGCACAUGAUUGAUUCUCCCGUCACUGUCGAUGGAACAGCCUCUCUUUCUAACAUCGUGUGAUAGCAGGCUCGGAGAAAACCCCGAAAGGUGGACCUUAUAGUGUUUUUUAAAGCAGACCUAAAAUGGCCGAUGCACGAGACGCCAUUUUGUGUUUCCUUGUUGUGUUUUGGGGGGCAGAAUCUCAGCCUUGUAUUCAAUCAGAGGCAGCUGGUGGAAGCCAUAUUUGCAGGCAUCUGUGUGUGUACCUCCGUCUGAGCAGCAGCAGCCAGCCUACACAGGGAUAGCCCACUGGAAUGAGCUCAGUUUUUGGCCAAAAACGGAAACGAAUUCCUGGCACAGAGUCGAGCAGUCUUUCUUUUUUUUUUUUUUUUCCUCUCUUUCAAUCACAUGCCAGUGUCUCAGGAAGCCAGUGAGUUGUUUGUUGGGCUUUCACACAUUAGUGCUCUCACUUUCCGAUGUCUGCUUACCGUUAAAUGAUUUGUCUUUUGAUUUAUUUGAAUGGAAACGUAUUCCUGAAAGACAUUCAGCUCCGCAUCACCAAAAACAAAACAAAGAAAAGGGAAGCAAGGGGUUGAUCGGAGAGGAUGUGUCGAAAUGUGAAAUCAUCUUUUGUUAAGAAGUGAUGGACAUUUCUCCAAAUCUUGUCCGUCGAAGAAUUGUUGUCGUGAAGCCGUAAGUUGUGAUUUUGAAUCAAUUCCAGGAACGAAAACAAACACUGAAGAUACGAUUACACUCCUUUGUGCUCGGACUGAAUUUGAACACAGCCGUCUAAAAUGUAACGAGAGUUACCUUUGUGGAAUCUUUGAUGCGGAAGCAACGUGCAUGCUGUCCUUGGGGCUGAGGUAGUAGAUUGAAUAGUUGUGGGGUUGUGUGACCUCUUUUUGAGAUAACUAUACAAUCUACUGUCUUUCCCAAGGAGACAGCUGAGUCAGCCAUUCGCCGACUGUCAUCUCCAGAUGGACAAUCCUGCCGUCCAAUCAGAACGUACCCUUGCGGUAGUCAACAUAAUGUGUCAAGCAUUGUUUUUUCUUUAGUAAAACAAGUGAAUUAGGUUUCCUGCUCCUGAAUACGUGAACUCAUGGUGUGUUUGAUUUGGGCUCUGUCAUGGUGAGGUAGUAGGUUGUAUAGUUUGGUGGGUGGGAUUGCACCCUGCUCAGGUGAUAACUAUACAUUCUAUUGCCUUCCCUGAGGAGCUCUCUGACCAUGAACGCUCAACACACUCUCAAGAUAGCACUACAUUUAUUCGUAUAGAAAAAGAGCAGGGAAAUAGUGCAGCAGAAGGUUAGUGAUGAAUGGAUUGAAGCUGUCAAUGGACAACAUUUGAUGUACUUCUGAAUAAAGUCACUUGCCUCAAAUCAGUCGUCAAAAAAUCUGUAAAUGAGAACUUGAAAUUGUUUGCUUGUACUUUACUGCAACUCUGAUGCUUUCAUGGUUUGUGUACAGCAGCAGCUCGUGAGUGUGUUAGUCUACAGCACCCUCUAGUGGAAACUGAGCAGAUAGCUUUGGCGACCGCAUGCCAUGGCGAAGUAAGAGAAUGCAGUUUCAUUUAAACCAAACAAGACACACACAUUCAAACACUCACUGGCUGCCUGUAUGUCUUCAGUUGGUUAUGUGUAAUAAAGCAUUUAAAUGAUUGUU
Cottoperca gobio is the source of this 7077-nucleotide RNA transcript. It is a transcript of the gene named leucine-rich repeat containing G protein-coupled receptor 6, with no coding region annotated. The transcript has 3 exons. The record is from RefSeq and is a predicted model, not a curated record. NCBI's taxonomy places the organism in Eukaryota, Metazoa, Chordata, Actinopteri, Perciformes, Bovichtidae.